GGAAUCAGCUUGAAAUCUGCUUACAAUAUCUAAGACAUAAGCCAUAUCAGACUUGGUACACAGCAUAGCAUACAUUAUUGAUCCUAUAGCCGAAGCAUAAGAAAUAGAACCCAUUCUAUUUCUCUCUUCAGGCGUCUUAGGAGACAUCUUCCUAGAGAGUUGUAUGCCAUGACCCAUGGACAAAUAACCUUUUUUACUUCC
This 201-nucleotide long non-coding RNA is filed under the name Elaeis guineensis (African oil palm). RNAcentral describes it as "long non-coding RNA (EGUI_LNC003463)". Lineage: Eukaryota; Viridiplantae; Streptophyta; Magnoliopsida; Arecales; Arecaceae. The record is from RNAcentral.